Molecule: non-coding RNA, 90 nt
Organism: Trichophaea hybrida
Lineage: Eukaryota; Fungi; Ascomycota; Pezizomycetes; Pezizales; Pyronemataceae
Source: the annotation of a GenBank genome assembly
ACACCGCUGGUGUAGGGGUAACAUAUUACCUUCCCAUCUUCAAGAGAUUAGGAUCAGGUAAUGCCGUGGGUUCGAUUCCCGCGCGGUGUA